RNAcentral lists this ribosomal RNA (386 nucleotides) under uncultured bacterium. RNAcentral describes it as "partial 16S ribosomal RNA". It matches the Rfam family "Bacterial small subunit ribosomal RNA", at positions 355 to 733 of the family's 1533-position model. The record is from RNAcentral.
UGGGGAAUAUUGCACAAUGGGCGCAAGCCUGAUGCAGCCAUGCCGCGUGUGUGAAGAAGGCCUUCGGGUUGUAAAGCACUUUCAGCGAGGAGGAAGGUGGUGAACUUAAUACGUUCAUCAAUUGACGUUACUCGCAGAAGAAGCACCGGCUAACUCCGUGCCAGCAGCCGCGGUAAUACGGAGGGUGCAAGCGUUAAUCGGAAUUACUGGGCGUAAAGCGCACGCAGGCGGUUUGUUAAGUCGAUNUGAAAUCCCCGGGCUCAACCUGGGAACUGCAUUUGAAACUGGCAAGCUAGAGUCUCGUAGAGGGGGGCUAGAAUUCCAGGUGUAGCGGUGAAAUGCGUAGAGAUCUGGAGGAAUACCGGUGGCGAAGGCGGCCCCCUGGA